This 22-nucleotide non-coding RNA is filed under the name Arabidopsis thaliana (thale cress). The record is from RNAcentral. Lineage: Eukaryota; Viridiplantae; Streptophyta; Magnoliopsida; Brassicales; Brassicaceae.
UAUAAUGUCACCGUCCAAACCA